This 301-nucleotide ribosomal RNA is filed under the name uncultured bacterium. RNAcentral's name for it is "partial 16S ribosomal RNA". It matches the Rfam family "Bacterial small subunit ribosomal RNA", at positions 509 to 807 of the family's 1533-position model. The record is from RNAcentral.
CAGUCGCCACGGUAAAACGUAGGUGGCAAGCGUUGUCCGGAAUUAUUGGGCGUAAAGGGCUCGCAGGCGGUUUCUUAAGUCUGAUGUGAAAGCCCCCGGCUCAACCGGGGAGGGUCAUUGGAAACUGGGAAACUUGAGUGCAGAAGAGGAGAGUGGAAUUCCACGUGUAGCGGUGAAAUGCGUAGAGAUAUGGAGGAACACCAGUGGCGAAGGCGACUCUCUGGUCUGUAACUGACGCUGAGGAGCGAAAGCGUGGGAAGCGAACAGGAUUAGAUACCCCCGUAGUCCCUGUCUCUUAUAC